This 20-nucleotide non-coding RNA is filed under the name Rattus norvegicus (Norway rat). Lineage: Eukaryota; Metazoa; Chordata; Mammalia; Rodentia; Muridae. The record is from RNAcentral.
UGAGAUGAUUAUAUACAGGG